GCGUUAGGGUGGAGAAGAAGGACUCGGCCUUAGGCGCUGACACAGAGGAGCUUCAUUAAUUACCGGUCCACUUCAGGUGGGGCAGAGAGGCAGGAAUGCAGAUGCAGGUCGAGGAUAUGGAAAGUGUAGCCAACAACCUAACCCUGUCCAGCCUUCUGUGCCCUAGUCAUUCACAGGUACCUGCUGUGAUGGGAGAUAUCUGCACACCUGUCAUCUGCAUAUGAUCUCACCUGCACAUCAACUCGGUGGAGGAGGCACUGCCGGCAUCCCCAGAUAACCCAGUCUUUAUGCUGCAGUGCCUGGCUUCCUUUCCUGUGAUGGAUAACUCUAGAGCUAUCCUGGCUCCACCCCCAAGCUAAGGAUCUCCUUCUGGGACAUCUAAGCCAAGGCAGACAGUCUGAGAGAGCCUUGGGGAAACUUCCCAAGCCCCACUGGUACUGCACUGGUGCACAAGAGCUACAGCGGAGAAUGUGGCCGUGGGGAGCUUUGUUCUAAGCAGGAAGCCUCUAUCCAAGUAACCCUU
Molecule: long non-coding RNA, 523 nt
Organism: Mus musculus (house mouse)
Lineage: Eukaryota; Metazoa; Chordata; Mammalia; Rodentia; Muridae
Product: predicted gene, 30344
Exons: 3
Source: RefSeq, a predicted model, not a curated record